AACGAACGCUGGCGGCAGGCCUAACACAUGCAAGUCGAACGAAGCCUUCGGGCUUAGUGGCGGACGGGUGAGUAACGCGUGGGAACGUGCCCUUUGGAUCGGAAUAGCCCCGGGAAACUGGGAGUAAUACCGGAUGAGCCCUUCGGGGGAAAGAUUUAUCGCCAAAGGAUCGGCCCGCGUUGGAUUAGGUAGUUGGUGGGGUAAUGGCCUACCAAGCCGACGAUCCAUAGCUGGUUUGAGAGGAUGAUCAGCCACACUGGGACUGAGACACGGCCCAGACUCCUACGGGAGGCAGCAGUGGGGAAUCUUAGACAAUGGGGGAAACCCUGAUCUAGCCAUGCCGCGUGAUCGAUGAAGGCCUUAGGGUUGUAAAGAUCUUUCAGUGGGGAAGAUAAUGACGGUACCCACAGAAGAAGCCCCGGCUAACUCCGUGCCAGCAGCCGCGGUAA
Molecule: ribosomal RNA, 449 nt
Filed under: uncultured bacterium
Lineage: Bacteria
Description: partial 16S ribosomal RNA
Rfam family: Bacterial small subunit ribosomal RNA
Source: RNAcentral